Small nucleolar RNA from Hibiscus syriacus, 83 nucleotides. RefSeq annotates it as small nucleolar RNA snoR14. The transcript has a single exon. NCBI's taxonomy places the organism in Eukaryota, Viridiplantae, Streptophyta, Magnoliopsida, Malvales, Malvaceae. The record is from RefSeq and is a predicted model, not a curated record.
GUGAUGCGAUGAUCGAAAUUCAAUGGUCUCUCAACCCACUGAUCUAAUUUGAUGUUACAUUGAACUUGACAGAUUUUGAUCGC